This 253-nucleotide ribosomal RNA is filed under the name uncultured bacterium. RNAcentral describes it as "partial 16S ribosomal RNA". It matches the Rfam family "Bacterial small subunit ribosomal RNA", at positions 524 to 776 of the family's 1533-position model. The record is from RNAcentral.
UACAGAGGUCUCAAGCGUUGUUCGGAUUCAUUGGGCGUAAAGGGUGCGUAGGUGGCGCGCUAAGUCAGGUGUGAAAUUUCGGAGCUUAACUCCGAAACUGCAUUUGAUACUGGCGUGCUUGAGGACUGGAGAGGAGACUGGAAUUCAUGGUGUAGCGGUGAAAUGCGCAGAUAUCAGGAAGAACACCCGUGGCGAAGGCGGCUUUCUGGGACGGUACUGACGCUGAGACGCGAAAGCGUGGGGAGCGAACAGG